RNAcentral lists this ribosomal RNA (420 nucleotides) under uncultured bacterium. RNAcentral describes it as "bacterial SSU rRNA". It matches the Rfam family "Bacterial small subunit ribosomal RNA", at positions 355 to 767 of the family's 1533-position model. The record is from RNAcentral.
UGGGGAAUUUUGGACAAUGGGCGCAAGCCUGAUCCAGCCAUGCCGCGUGCAGGAUGAAGGCCCUCGGGUUGUAAACUGCUUUUGUACGGAACGAAAAGCCUCUUUCUAAUAAAGAGGGGUGAUGACGGUACCGUAAGAAUAAGCACCGGCUAACUACGUGCCAGCAGCCGCGGUAAUACGUAGGGUGCGAGCGUUAAUCGGAAUUACUGGGCGUAAAGCGUGCGCAGGCGGUUUUGUAAGACAGAGGUGAAAUCCCCGGGCUCAACCUGGGAACUGCCUUUGUGACUGCAAGGCUGGAGUGCGGCAGAGGGGGAUGGAAUUCCGCGUGUAGCAGUGAAAUGCGUAGAUAUGCGGAGGAACACCGAUGGCGAAGGCAGUCCCCUGGGCCUGUACUGACGCUCAUGCACGAAAGCGUGGGGA